GAAAUAAUGUGGUGCUGAGGUUGAAUGGACCACAGCCAACUCCCUCUGCCUGGGAAGUGAAGAGGAAGAAUGAAUUGUUUUCUAGAGGAGAUGGUGCUGGUUGGAAAGAAAAUGUCCAAAGAGAUCGGUGGAUGUGGAGACUUGGUCUGGCACUUGUGAGCAACAGUGUCCUUCACCAAGGCAGAGAUGUAAAAGACUAUCAAAGAAAGACAGAGUUGAAAGACCAGUUCUUCAGGAAAUCACACGGUGGUGUCAUGUGGAGGGGAUUAGAGGCACAAGAAAGAGUGGCAGAGAGAAACUGGGGGCAUGAAUUGUGAUUGGUGAUGGGACAAUGACAGUUUCUCCUCUGCAAUGUCCCUCUGUCAUGCCACUCUGCCUUGGAGCCAGUCAAUGUUGGACUGAAAUCUCUACAAACUAAGGCAUGACUGGGUUGGAACUCAAAACUUCCAUCAAGAAAAUCAAGAUUGUGGAAGAAGAGGACAAUGAUGAUCUGAAAUGACACUGUGGUGAUGGCACUGUCCAGAAGAAAGCCUGUCAUGGGGAACCUAAACUCAUACACUGGCAGUGACAUGGCUUCCUGAGAAUAGUCCGUACUACUCCAAGUAUUAGCUUUUGAUAUUAACAUUCACUUUAAUUUAAAUGUUACAAGUCUUGUUUAUCAUCAUGGUUAUAAAUAAGGACUAAAGAAUAUGAAGAUAGCAGGCUUGUGUAUGUCACCAGGUCACAAGCUCCAAACAAUCCAUCCAAAUUAUCAUACAUCUCUACCUAUUUAGAGACAAAGUUUUGAAGAAACUUAAAGGACCAAGAUCAGAAUUGCCUGACUAAAGUAAGGAUUUCUCUCUCAUCUAUCUAUAUAACGAAAAAUCUCUAUACAGUAUGCCAUCCAACCUUCAAUUCCAUAGAUACAAAUAACAUUUCCUAGGAUUAAUUAAAAAGAUUCUUACAAGACACUUAAGGUAAAUGAUGUUUUACAAAAACCACAGGAAAAAAGUGUAAUUACCAAAGCCAUUCUAGAUGUACUUUGUAACUCAAAAUGAGACAUAUGUUAUAGUAGAUCAAGUAAUCAUCCAUGCAUGCCAAAGGGGAAAAGGCAUGUGGAAAACUACACAAAUGUUUCAGAUGAGUUUUCCUAGAAGCUGAGACCAAGAUGAUAAUUCUUGAACAAGUGUUUUACUCAGAAGAAAUCUAUAAGGAAGGGAGGAAAGCAAGAAUAAUGCAGUAAUAAUGCAGCAAUAAUGUGGUUUCAGUUGAAAACUCACAUUAACUUGGCCUACGGGAGCUCAGAAGUUGAACAGUGUCACAAAGAUAUCCAGCCUUGAAGAAAAGGGGACGAGCUUUUGUAUCCCAAUGUCAUUGGCUGUGAAGUGUCCCAACAGCAUUUCUGGUUGAGGAACUCAUGUUGGCUGAAGGAAGUUCUUCAGAGAAACACUCUUCUAUGAGCUGCCCUCAUAGGCACUGGGCAUGGUUCCAUUGACUGGUGAAGAAAAUCAGGACAAGGCACCAAAAGCAUUUAUUACAAGCUAUCCUUUGCACUGUUCAGAAUCACUUUCUCUUCCCUUUAAGAUCAUGGAAUUUGGGCAUGCUUUCUGUAGCAUUCUGAUUCAGAGACAGGAAUCUCCAAGAUCAAGGUACAACAGGGCCCAGCUUAUGAUGAAGACUUGCUUACAAAUGGCUGCCUUCUUUCUGCAACCUCAUAUGAUCUUUCUUCUGAGCACAUAAAGAGAGAAGGGGAGAGAGGAGCAGAGAAGGAGAGACACUCUCUCUCUUUCUAAAGUCGUUCCCAUACUAUUAAAUUGGGACCACCCUUAUGUCCUCACUUAAUCUUACUUAGCCCCUAAAAGCCCUAUCUGUGUAGUCAUAUUGGGGUUUAGGAAUUGGAGGAGUGCAUACUUCUGUCACAGUAAUGAGUGAGGAAGUUCUUGACUACACUACUAGUGAUAAUAAAAGGAAGAAAAAAGGAAAGGAUUUUCUGUGGUGUGUAUUUUCUCUUUUCUUUUCUUUUCAUCUCUUUUCUUUCUGGUAGUAUUAGAGGUUGAACCCAGGGUCUCACACUGAGCUAGCUACAUGCCUGACUCUUUGUUUUUAUUUUUAUUUGAUACAGGUCCUUGCUAAUUUGCUGUUGCCUAGCUUGGGCUCAGACUUGCAAUUCUCCUGACUUAGCCUCUCAGAGUGCUGGGAACACAAGCAUGCACCACCAUACCAAGCUUAGUGUGACUAUUUUACAUUUUAUUUUGUAAGGUUAUGGAGAUUUUGUUAUUCUUGUAAGAUGAGGAAAGACAGUAGUAGGCUGAGGAAAGACAGUAGGGAAAGGGAGAAGUAGAAGACACAGAAGGUAAUUGAUGGGAACAAUUAUA
This 2354-nucleotide long non-coding RNA is filed under the name Heterocephalus glaber (naked mole-rat). Its description in RNAcentral is "lncRNA (ENSHGLG00000031964.1)". Lineage: Eukaryota; Metazoa; Chordata; Mammalia; Rodentia; Bathyergidae. The record is from RNAcentral.